GAUGAACGCUGGCGGCGUGCUUAACGCAUGCCAGUCGAACGGAAAGGCCCAAGCUUGCUUGGGUACUCGAGUGGCGAACGGGUGAGUAACACGUGGGUGAUCUGCCCUGCACUUCGGGAUAAGCCUGGGAAACUGGGUCUAAUACCGGAUAGGACCACAUUUUGGAUGGUGUGGUGGAAAGUUUUUCGGUGUGGGAUGAGCUCGCGGCCUAUCAGCUUGUUGGUGGGGUAAUGGCCUACCAAGGCGUCGACGGGUAGCCGGCCUGAGAGGGUGUACGGCCACAUUGGGACUGAGAUACGGCCCAGACUCCUACGGGAGGCAGCAGUGGGGAAUAUUGCACAAUGGGCGCAAGCCUGAUGCAGCGACGCCGCGUGGGGGAUGACGGCCUUCGGGUUGUAAACUCCUUUCGCUAGGGACGAAGCGUUAUGUGACGGUACCUGGAGAAGAAGCACCGGCUAACUACGUG
Molecule: ribosomal RNA, 466 nt
Filed under: uncultured bacterium
Lineage: Bacteria
Description: partial 16S ribosomal RNA
Rfam family: Bacterial small subunit ribosomal RNA
Source: RNAcentral